This 297-nucleotide ribosomal RNA is filed under the name uncultured bacterium. Its description in RNAcentral is "partial 16S ribosomal RNA". It matches the Rfam family "Bacterial small subunit ribosomal RNA", at positions 1080 to 1382 of the family's 1533-position model. The record is from RNAcentral.
GUUAGUCCGCACGAGCGCACCCUCACUUUUAGUUGCCAUCAUUUAGUUGGGCACUCUGAAAGAACUGACAGUGAUAAGCUGGAGGAAGGUGGGGAUGACGUCAAGUCCUCAUGGCCCUUACGUGUUGGGCUACACACGUGCUACAAUGGUAUCUACAACAGGAAGCAAGACGGCGACGUCAAGCAAAUCCUUAAAAGAUACCUCAGUUCGGAUUGCACUCUGCAACUCGAGUGCAUGAAGCUGGAAUUACUAGUAAUCGUGGAUCAGCGUGCCACGGUGAAUGCGUUCCCGGGUCUU